Eptesicus fuscus (big brown bat) is the source of this 725-nucleotide long non-coding RNA. RefSeq lists it as uncharacterized. The transcript is spliced from 3 exons. The record is from RefSeq and is a predicted model, not a curated record. NCBI's taxonomy places the organism in Eukaryota, Metazoa, Chordata, Mammalia, Chiroptera, Vespertilionidae.
UCCCUCAAGAACAUCCAAGAUAAGACCGAAAGAGUAACUUUCAUUGACCAAACCCAACAGGAAACCAGAGGACAAGGAGCCUGGGGGAGGUGGUGUGUGGGGCUCUGCCUAACGUGGAGGACGCUGAGAGGAACCUGCAGGAUCCACCACUUCCCCAUCCACUCAACAUCUAUUGUGUCCCUCAUUCAGAUGAAGAGACUCUCAUCCCCAACGUUACUGAGACACGAAGUCCCAUAAACUGCCAUGUCAUGGAUGUGAAAAUGGAACAUUUCAUUUCCUGGUACAGGACCGUGUGCUGUGACCACUGGCAGAGGAAAACCAUCUCCUUCAAGAUGGGUCAGAUCAGUGAGCGCAAAAGAGAAGAUCCUUCUAAACAUUGUUCCAAACGGAGUUCCCGCCUCCUCAUCCUUUCAGAGCCAGUUGAAGACCAACUCCAGGAAGCCUGGCCUGACGACUCCAGCCAGGUUGGGCUAGGACUAGGUGCCUUAUCCUCCUGGGUGUCCCAACAGCCCAUGUGCAGAUCUCUACCGCUGCACGUGUCACAAAUUUGGAAAUCCAUACUUAUGUCCCUCUGUCUCCCUGUGGCCUAUAUGCUCUGAGAGUAAAUGUUCGUGUUUGUGUUUCCUGAGACGCUUUAGAAGAGUACCAGAAACAUAGCAAAGGUCUGAUGCAUCCCUGUUGAGACAAUGAAUAAAUGAUAUUCUAUAAUAAAUUUUACAGCCUGG